This is a long non-coding RNA of Pristis pectinata (smalltooth sawfish), 1102 nucleotides long. RefSeq lists it as uncharacterized. Lineage: Eukaryota; Metazoa; Chordata; Chondrichthyes; Rhinopristiformes; Pristidae. The record is from RefSeq and is a predicted model, not a curated record. The transcript is spliced from 2 exons.
UAAGGACCAUUCUCAUCAAUAAGCAAAUUUUCCCACUGAUCAAGUGGAUGCAAGGAUCAUGGGAAAUUACUCCUCUUUGAUCUCUACUAUUCUGAUUACUUAGUUCACUGCAGAACAGCACUUGGAGCUAUUGUGUUCUAUCUGAUUGAUAUCAGGAAAGCAGAAGAAUGAUGUUCAUCAAGCCUCGGUCAUUGAAUAUUGCCUUCCUCAUUGAGGACUAUAUCAUUUUCACAACAGCCUACCUGAUGGAUGCAAGUGCAGUGAAAUGAAAUGGAAGUAUAAACAGUGGAUCAUCGUGCUUUGGAUCUCAGCAGAGACAUUGGAAACCAAAAGGUCUGAGAGCAAGACCUGUCAGAAGGCCUUUAGGUUGAUCCCUGUGCAGCAGCCAGAGUGAUGUCAAUUAUCGCAUCAGUCUCUGGGAGGACACUCUGCUGGCUAGGAAGAGAUGCUGGGAAACAGAACAAAAGUGCAGUGAAGGAAGGUCACAUAAUCAACACCUGGUCAGUAUUAAUUGAGAACAUCAUUGAGACAGAUUUAUAACCCUGUGAAUUAUCCCAUUGUGAACCAUCCCUCUGAGCCAUCCAGUGGACAACAAGUAAAUGAUGUUUUGGGAACUGACUUGUGAAAGGAACGACUUGAUAUAUUACAAAAUGCACAAACACUCUAAGGAACCUAAUGGUUGAACUAACUGUGGAAUGGCUCCAGCAGGAAUUUGAUGAAAUUAAAGAAACAUGUACGUAUGGAUUAGGAUCAGAAUUACAGCUUUGUAAAUGGCAAUAAAGAACUAAGGAAUGUUUGGAAAUUGUGUGAAGAAAUGUAUAAAAAGGUGCCUUGUGGGAUGACCAGCAGCAGUGACUCCUGACACCAACCACUGUAGAUAAAGAUCCUGAAUCAGGGACGUAGAAGAACUCGCCAAGAUUGUAUCCCAGCAAGGUUCAUCAAGAGUGGGUAAUAUCUGAAUGCAGGGCAGUGGGUUUUGGAAGUUGGGAAAGUAAACUAAAAGUUGUGAAACUAAAGAGUUUGAGUCUUAUUUGAAACUAUGUUGUGAACCUUUGAGUUGUUUGAACCAAUCACUAUUAAUGAAGUAUAGUUGUUGGACAAA